Non-coding RNA from Neolamprologus brichardi, 153 nucleotides. Lineage: Eukaryota; Metazoa; Chordata; Actinopteri; Cichliformes; Cichlidae. The record is from RefSeq and is a predicted model, not a curated record.
AUCUCCAGAAACAACUAAAGGGACGCCUAGCACAGAGAAGACAAAGGCUGGUAAAUCUUCCCCUCCGACCAUGGUGAGGCUACAAGGGACUGUAAGUAGUCUCUGUCACAGUGAUGUGAUUUCUGCUAUGGAUAAAAAAUUUUGAAAAACUAA